UACAGAGGGUGCGAGCGUUGUUCGGAAUUAUUGGGCGUAAAGCGCUUGUAGGCGGCACGUCAAGUCGCGUGUGAAAUCCCCAGGCUUAACCGGGCGAGGUCGGCGGAAACUCUCAGACUGGAGGCCGGUAGAGGGGGGUGGAAUUCCCGGUGUAGUGGUGAAAUGCGUAGAGAUCGGGAGGAACACCUGUGGCGAAGGCGGCCCCCUGGGCCGCGCCUGACGCUGAGACGCGAAGGCUAGGGGAGCGAACGGG
RNAcentral lists this ribosomal RNA (253 nucleotides) under uncultured bacterium. Its description in RNAcentral is "partial 16S ribosomal RNA". It matches the Rfam family "Bacterial small subunit ribosomal RNA", at positions 524 to 776 of the family's 1533-position model. The record is from RNAcentral.